AGAUGUGAGGGCAAUCUGGCUGCGACAUCUGUCACCCCAUUGAUCGUCAGGGUUGAUUCAGCUGAUCUGGCUGGCUAGGUGGGCGUCCCCCUCCUCCCUCACAGCUCCACGUGCAUCCCUCCGGAAGCUGCGUGCACUCGGUUGAAGAAGACGACCUUCCUCGAAUAGAGGAGGACCAGUCUUCGGUCAAGGGUAUACAAGUAGCUGUGCUCCCCUGCUAGAACCUCCAAACACACUCUCAAGGAAACUGCAGUGUAUGUUUUGGGAAUGUAUAAGCAUGAAGAUCAGGGGAACAGAAAUAUAUCCAAACAUGAUUU
This 317-nucleotide small nuclear RNA is filed under the name Mus pahari (shrew mouse). Its description in RNAcentral is "sRNA (MGP_PahariEiJ_G0007978.1)". It matches the Rfam family "7SK RNA". From Rfam's summary of the family: 7SK was discovered as an abundant small nuclear RNA in the mid-70s but a possible function has only recently been suggested. Two independent studies have found that 7SK RNA binds the CDK9/cyclin T complex (known as elongation factor P-TEFb). Lineage: Eukaryota; Metazoa; Chordata; Mammalia; Rodentia; Muridae. The record is from RNAcentral.